RNAcentral lists this ribosomal RNA (433 nucleotides) under uncultured bacterium. RNAcentral describes it as "partial 16S ribosomal RNA". It matches the Rfam family "Bacterial small subunit ribosomal RNA", at positions 29 to 507 of the family's 1533-position model. The record is from RNAcentral.
AGCGAACGCUGGCGGCAGGCCUAACACAUUCAAGUCGAACGAACUCUUCGGAGUUAGUGGCGGACGGGUGAGUAACACGUGGGAACGUGCCUUUUGGUUCGGAAUAACUCAGGGAAACUUGUGCUAAUACCGAAUGUGCCCUUCGGGGGAAAGAUUUAUCGCCAUUAGAGCGGCCCGCGUCUGAUUAGCUAGUUGGUGAGGUAACGGCUCACCAAGGCGACGAUCAGUAGCUGGUCUGAGAGGAUGACCAGCCACACUGGGACUGAGACACGGCCCAGACUCCUACGGGAGGCAGCAGUGGGGAAUCUUGCGCAAUGGGCGAAAGCCUGACGCAGCCAUGCCGCGUGAAUGAUGAAGGUCUUAGGAUUGUAAAAUUCUUUCACCGGGGACGAUAAUGACGGUACCCGGAGAAGAAGCCCCGGCUAACUUCGUG